AAAUUCAGAGUCCUGGAGAAAUUCUGUGGUCUCUGAAGAUCAUUCUUAUCAUCAUCGUGAUCCAAAGUUCAGACACUUGGACCACUCUGUGCUCUACACUGGGAAACUUGACAGAGCAGAAAAUGGCAUAUUCUCAGCUAACAGGCCUCUUCAGCUGUCCAGGAAGGAUUAUGGAGAGAAGUCGACAAACAGCAGCUGGGAACAAAGUCAUGAAGUUCCAAAGAACCUACUGAUGCCAUUUGAAAUCGAAGAGCAAGACGUUGCUGAGUUCAGAAGAUGCUGAAUCCUAAAGUGGUAAAAGAAAAGACCCAAACAGAAGAGUCCAGCUUUCUCAGUUUUCCCAAAGAUAUCUCAGAUCACAGCACUGACAUUGCAUGUGACAUUGAGCAUCAAAGGUUUCAAAAACAAGCAUUUGAGAACUUGUGGAGUUGCUGAGCAAAGAGAGUUUAAUACAGAAAGAUGUUGAAUUUACUAAUAUAUCUUAUGGGGAAGAAACAACUCAAGUCCGUUUCUAGGACCUCCUACGUCAUCCUUACUCACUGCUGGAUUGAAAAGGUUAUUGAGGGAGUAGAGAUCGUCAGAGGAUCCAGCAUGCAACACAGAAGAAAGAGACGUCUCAUUGCCUUCAGGGAGAGUCUUCCUGCCGUUCAGGAUACUAAAUGCAUAUUUAACAACCAUUCCCUUGGAAGAUGCUGCACAUUAACCACUUUAUGUUGCACCAAUCAGCUGUUCGGUUCGAUUGUCCUGCUCAACUGUUCAGGAAUUUUUGGAGGGAUUUUUUUGACUUCUGAAACUCAUCUAAAGAUUUGCUGCAAACCACAACAGAGUGGGGAGCUCAUGAACUUCAAGCCCUGUGAUUAUCAGUGCUUCCAAGAGCUGAUGUCGCUAACCAGUAGUUUUAGGCUUGACCAUCUAAAUACUCACUUAUGCCACAGACAGGUAAGUAUCUUUUGCUUAAUUUUGCUAUAAGUAUGAAACUGUUGUUUUCAAGCCAAAGCAUGUGGAGGGAGGAAGAGGAGGAGCUAAUUUCUAAUUACAGAGGUGCAGCUCCUCUAUUUUAUGGGCAGCAGUAGAGGGGAGAAGAGCAGAAAUGAUUUUUCUUUGAUGACUGAAGAAAUAUUUAUGAUAUGCCAUUCUCAGAGAGAAAAAAUUACUGGAAUUUCACAAUACUACUCACUCUGAGUUUCUUGGCUCUAGUUACUUUUUAUUUUUCCUGAUUCCAUACAGAUUUGAUACUGUGAAAGCAUAACCCACCUUUCAAGUUCUUUAUUAAUACAGAAAAGUUGUGUCAGGCAGCCGAGGUCCUCAUGCCACCAAAAUCAGUUUCUAAUCAUUACCUGGUAUAGGAGACCUGCUUUGGCAGGGGGGUUGUACUCAAUGAUCUCUGCGGGGUCCCUCCCACACCCUGUGAUUCUGUGUUCAUCUCUUACUAAAGAUUCUUGAUUAUCUAGAAUAGACUGUUGAGAACAAUGGAAAAACAUACAACUGAAUUUUAACAUUGGGGCUCAUAGUCUUGAUUUCAGGGAAUUUGGUCAUGCAACAGUGAUACACACUCAGAAAUCUGUUAUGUAUUACAUUGUACUGUGCUUAGCCUUUUAGCAUACAGAUUUUGAUCCAAUCUUAAGGAAAGCAUUUUGUAGAAAGUACAAAAAUGAAGUGUCCUUUUACCUCAAAUACUUUAAUUAUCCCUACAUUCUUGUUAUGAAUCUGUCCUUGUUAUGAAUUAAUUUAAAUACGGUUUUCAGCAUACCUAAAUCGGUAUCUUGAUAAAUAAAUAUCACCUGCAGGGAACGCUGAGUGUUUUUUUAACUCUGCAUAUCAUUGUUUAUUGUGGUACUAAUUGUGAAAGAAUGUCACCAUUUGAAAGACGCCUGCAACCGCUGGCCUACUGUUUGAUUUGCUAAUGCAGUGUCAUGAAGCAGUAGUACAUCAUGAAAUUUACUAUGUUUCUUUAGUAAAUAAUGAAAUGGGGAAGGUUGCAAUGUGAUUGACUACUAUGAACAUUUUUGAUUACCUGUUAGCAUUGAGUGUAAAAUUCAGUCCCUCUUCCUCAAGCUCUUUCUGCCUACAUUAUUUUCUCUUCUUUUCCAUAAGAACUUUGGCAAUGAAAUGAAUGUUUUUAAGCACCUGAAAAAUAAUUCAAUUACAAGAAUUUCCUGAGCUGCACCUGUUUGGCUACCUCUGGGGAACAGCUGCCAGUCGGGGUUGUGACAGGAGUCAGCGGAGCUCUCCAUGAGCAAUGAGUGAGCAUAAAGUUCAGCUCCUUGGAAAGACAGUUUCCUGCAGUGUCUCUUCAGUAUUCACUCUUUCUUCUAAUUCCCAGCUUGAAUGAAUGCAGCCAUGAGACUGACAGAGUCCUCCAGUAAAGCAGGCAGAACACAGUAAGGGCAGACAGUUCUGAGAUAGGAAGGAAGGGAAGAAUGUGGGUCAGAGUUGCUGUAUAACACAGCCUGGAACAUCAGGUAAGAAAAAAACUCAAAGAACAACAACAACAACAAGAAAACAAAACAGGGUAAAACUGGAAAAAUUAAAAAAGAGUUUAAAUUUAAAGGAAUGCCCAACUCCAAGGUUAUAUUAGAACAGGAUUAAUACACACAGCAAAGGAUAAAAUACACACAAUAGUAAUUUUGAAAGCUUAAUUUUGAGAGAAUCUAAAACCCACAUAUUACACUUCUCUGACAAUUCUUUUUUUUCCCCCCCAGUUUUACUGCAUUGAACGUAUGAGUGAAAUACAUGUGUGCUAAUACUCUGCUUCUCUCCAAACAGUAACUUAAGGGGAAUCUCAUUAAAAACACUCUGAACAGACAAACAAAGUGGCAAUGUAAUCUUAAUGAGGCAAGGUGACUUCUUGCUGUGCAAAUGUGCAGAGACCUGUAAAACCGCAGUUGUCCUUCCACUCACUGAAGACAAUUGUAAGCAUCUGUCAAGUGCACCACUGUCCUAUUUACUGGUGAGACUGACCAGGUGAGCUGCACGUAAGGACACCUCUGCCAAUAAAAAGGUCAGCAUUACCAUUUUGAGAAACUGUGUUACUUCAGGUUUUGAACUGCUACAGUUUCAUUGUGAUAAGUUUCCAUUUUGAAUUACAGCUUUUGGUUUUGUUAAUUAAUUCAUUAAAAAUACAAACUUCGGCUUCUUUAAUACUUCCAAUGGCUGCCAUUUUGAAUGGAGGUAAUCACGAGCAGCAAGGAGUGGCAGGGUGGAAUGUCUGGGGUUUCACCAUGCUGUGAAUUGUUCCUUGUGGUUUGAAAGAUGUUUGUUGCACGCUUCUUUUAAGAAAAAAAGCCCUUUAUUCUCAAUUUCAAGAUGUUUCAAAAAUUCAGGAUCAUUUGUCUGGCGGGUUUUAUUUUUUUAAUCCUUGUUUUGGAGCGAAGCAUGGAAAGGAUAGGAAAAGAACAAGGAAGAUUCUCUUACAGCAUAACAUGACUGUAUUUUUAUAAAAACAAACCCAGAAUGAAAGCUGGAAGCGUAUCUGAAAUGUAGCUUCUGACAUACAGAAAUAUUAUCAAAAGAAAAGACAAGAAAAAAGCUCCCUCGAUAUCAGAAUACAUUGUAAUUUUUAUCCAAACACAUCUGAAUCUUUUUAUGUUCCACCUAACAUAAAGCACACUGGAUAACUUGGGACAUUUCAGUUUAUGAUGAUGUCAUUCAGCCUCAGUUCCAUACUUCAGAUCAUACUGGAAUAAGGUGAUGCCAAAUAAAUAAGGAAUUAUUUUUGUUUAUUCCUACAAGAUGCUGAAUAGAUCCAUUUUUAAAAUGUAGUUUUAUUUAAAUUGACUACUUGUAUUUUACAUAUAGUUACUAUGAUUAUUGCUGUCUGGGGUCUGGCUUUUGUUCUCUUUUCAGGUUUUUUUUAUGGUAACAUGUAGAUGCUCUAAUUUGGAACACAGGCUUACUGCAAAUUUAUUUUGUAACUGGGGAUGUGCAGUGUAUUUCACACUAUGUCCAUUCUAUUUGUUCCUUAUUGUCAUCUUAAUUUUUAAUCUAUACUAUUUGUGGGAUUAGUGCUUAUACCUAAUUUUUGCUUAGCUCUGAAGUACAAAGCUAACUCAUUUGAUAUAAGGCAAUGGAACAAGUUCUGAGUUGUGUAAAAUAUUGUGUAUUGUAAAAUAUUGUGCGAAUGUGAAAUAUAGGCAGGGAAGGGUGCACCUGGAUGAAGGGAAAUUUGAAUUAAUAUUAUUAGUAAGUAUCUCAUAAAAAAAGACAGGUCUGAAAGAAUCUUCAAAAAAUAUUUUAUUUUCCUUUUGUUUCUUAUUUGUUACAAAACCACCUCCAUAAAAUAAUGAUCGAGAUUAAAUUGGGCUCCAAGAGGUUGUUAACGCAGUUAAAAUUGCAAGAGUAUUUUGUGAAUUAUUGGCACUUAGUUUUUUCCAGAUGGGACUUCUUGUGGGUAUAUAUGUGCUUUUUAAAGGUCUAAGGCCAACUUGGUAGCUAAGUAAUAACAAAUAUCAAUCUCAGUGAGCAUAUUCUAUGACAAUGAGGAGGGAAUUGUCUUAAAAGUAUUUAAUAUCAAUGAAUAGACCUUACAGUUCUGAAGAAAACAGCAGCGCCAUCUUUUGUUGGAACAGACCAACUGCAGCUUUCAAAUACCAAAGCGUAGAUCCAUUCUGAUUUGCAAUUAGUAUUUUAUAUCAGAAGGUUGUUUACCAAUAGUAAGGCAGCAUCUGUCUUAACAAGGAAGUAAAUACAAGAAAGGCUGUUCACUCUGUUUGCUGAAUAUUUGCUGAGGGAGAAAAGAUUUCAAAUAUGAACACAGUUACCAACGGCAGCUGGGACCUAUUUAGAGCUUACUUACAUUCUGUUUGACUGCUAUACUUUUAUAAAUGAAAGUACUUCAGGAAAAGUCCUUAAGAGUACACAUAACUUCUUUUCUUAAUCAAAAAGUCAGUGCAUUCAAGUUUGAUUAAACAUAGCUGAUAUUUUAAGAGGGAAUUUAAAAUAAAAUAAAGUAAAAUAAAAAGUUGUACUUACCUACCUGUAACCCGUAGUGCUGCUGAAUCACAAUUUAUUUUCUGAGUUUGAGAGAUCAAACAUGAGCUGGUCAGAAGGUCUUUGUUUCCUGUUUUGUGGCUUAGGGAGGAAAGGGUGACACGAAAAACAGCAGGUAAUGGACAUGAAAAUGCAGAAACUUCUAUAUCUCGAGUCUUGUUUGCUGUGUCUUACGGCAGCUUAACAAGGAAUGGUGCUUCAUGAUCAAAGGAGUUUGUAAGAAGUAUCUUAGUGAACUUUUAUAGUGCCUUUCAAAACUGGGAGUAUUGCUGCUUUAAUUAAGUGGUUAUCAGUUUUUCAUUUUUCCAAGUACUCAGAUACACCAGAUCCAUGCCUGCAUUUUUUUUCUAUGUGUAAUUUGCUCAUUUAUACCUAUUACUUCAUAUUUCAGUUGUUUUUUGACACUUUUAUGACUGAUUAAAUCAGAACUCUUAAAUCUGCAUAUACGGCUGUCAGUCUCUCGCUGAAGAUCUGCAAUAGAUUACCUAUGGACUCUGCAGUUUGAUGCCAGUACCUCAAAAGGAAUUUAAAAAUAAAUAAAUAAAGAGUGAUAGAGUUACAGCACCUAACCAACAGGCUUUUAUAAUACUCACUGCAUUCUUUCUCCCAUUCUUCCUUCCCACAAUACAGAAGAUUCCCAUUUGGAAGUUCAAGAUGGUUGAAGAUGGUGGGAGGGAAAAGGGUAAAGAAUUCUCAGCAAUGUGAAUGCUAUAUUUGGAGCAUUCUUGGACCUGGCUAUCCCCUCUUAAAAAAACAUCUGAUUUGGGAUAUAACAAAGGUAUUUCAACCUGCCACCACUCAUCCUGUACUGCAGCAGAGAGUGUUAAAACUGAAUUUUCCUCUAAAGCCCUGGUAGUAAGAGCUCCCAUGUAGAGGGGCCCUACUUUGCACACUGGACAUAUCCAUAAGGGCAGCCGUUAUAUUCUUGCUCUGUCCAACCCCCAAAAUCUCAGUGCCUUUUGUUUUUCAGGGAUUAUCCAAACUUAUUAUAUAAAUGACACUUUGCUUUACAACCAGAAUUUUCUAAACCAAUCUCGUCACUUCAACACAGGAUAUAUUUUCAUUCACCUUUUCUACAUUUAGAUUCAGGCUUCCAGCACUUGAUGAGGCAUUGGGAAAUCUGUUUUAUUUUGUUCUCAUUAGAUGGUUCAUUUCCUUUGAAAAAGGACUGUGUUUGUAUUUUACAUGUAUAGGAAAUGAACUGGCUUGUGUAAGACAAAUAACAAACACUAUUAGAUCUUUAGUCUUUUUAGCUGUCAAGAAACAAAUUUAGUAAUAUUUCAGUAUCUUGUUUUAGGGGCCUUGGAAAGUGCCUUGAAAGUGUCAAACAGCUCGUCCUAUGAAAAAAGAGGGGGGUGGGGGUGGAAUAAAAUCUAUUGAGAUUUAAGAAAAAGACACAGCCUUCUUCUAGUUACAGGGAUCUGUGCUGUGACUUCCACAAGUCUGAAGCUAAACAGAUGAGUUUAGACUAUGGUCUUGCUGUGCUAAGCCCUGCUAACUCUACCAUGUUACCAUUAUCAGUAAAGGAUUUGGCAAGUUUCUAAGUUACUAUUUGACCUGACACGUAUGUUCAGAUCUCUGGGGCCUGACUCAGGUGGGCCUGAACUUAGAAACGUGCAACCUCCUGAUAUUUAGCUACGGAAUAGACUCCAGACCUCUGCCUUGCCAUGAAGACUAUCCUAAAGUCUGCGAGGUAUAAAAUAAGAAAUCUCGUAAUCCUCAGUUAUAUUAUUACUGUUUUUUUUUCCAAAUCCAAAAUAAAACCUGGAGAAUAAAAAGGUUUCUCUAUUUGAUCUACUUUGACAAUAGAAUUAAAAUCUAAGUAAUAUAUAAUAUGAGUAUAAAUAAAUUAAUAUCUACAAUUAAGAAGCUGAUCGUGCAAUUUUUAUUGUUUUUCUAACAGGCUUGUAUGAUAAUGUCUAUAUCACAGUUCCAAAAAUGCAAACUGCAAAAGUCUCAAUUAGUUUUACAAAUAAAAACAGUUUGCUCAGGCAGCAAAAUGUUAAUGAGCACACCUCAAUUAACCUCUAUUUAUUUUGUUGGUACAAAUUAUUAACAAGGUUUCACAUGAAAAUAAAUGAGCAGCUUCAUCCUAUGUUUGUAGCUUACAUGGAUAGACAAGGCCAGAGUUUUGAUAGAUUCUAGUUUGAAUUUCUUCUUAAUUGCUUUUUUUUUUGAAAGCCUUAUUCAUGUAACCUCUUAGAGACUUCACAGAAACAAUGCUUUGACGAGUAUUUGCACAUCAUUGCACAUUAACAGCAUGUAAAAUUACACACAUUUAUUUAGUUAUUACAGAUAUGACUUCAAUACAUUUACUGGAGUUAUAGUUUAACAUAUUCAUUCUUUCUAAUGAAUUUUUGCAUAAAAUCUUGGGGAGGAGUUUGUUUUAUGACCUGAUGCUGUAGUGACAUUUGAGUAACUGACCUAGUUGUAAAGGAUGUUUCCAUAGCAGUAAGGGUACAAUCAGUUGUCAAAUGACACAGGAAAGUAACUGUGCACUGAAUUCAGUCUCUGCUGCCUUUACAGAUCAAGAAGAGUUACUUUUAUCCUUGUAAAAGUGUAAGAGUUCUCAAAAAGCUGUACAUGAUGAACAGUGAGGAAGGCUACUCAAAGCUCUAUAGCCAGAUGAGUCACACUCAUUGCCAUCCACAACGGCACUCUCCAAGGCCUGUGAAACAAUAAGGUAAUUUAUAAAAACUUUUCCACUGAAGUCAUAUACAGUCAGUGAAUCUAACCUUUAUUUUAGUGGCACUCGAAUUAGGACAAAGUUCCAUUCUGAAAAGAUUAUUCAGAAUAAAAGACAGAGGAACAUCAAGUAUUUUAUAUCAUUUUCAGAAUAAAAUAACCCACAAGCCAUAACCACAACAUACCAAGACAGUGGUGUGAGACUAAUUCCUCAUUUCAAAAUAUUGUUUCCUCUGUGUUGUAUAUUGGUCCCGGUUUAGCCAUCAUUAUCCACCUACAGUCAUGACAUUUUGUAAUUAGAAUUUGGGAUAUGAAAGUAAUUGUUACUUUCCUGAAGGUGACGCUGACAGAGAGGCAAUUUAGUGCCUAUGAGAUAAAACAGAGGUAGUUCCUUCUAUAUGGGACUACCAUCCCAUGUUUAGGUGUUGUACUAAGGGACAUAGUUUAGUGUGGAAAUAUGGUUGGUAGGCAGAUGGUUGGACUGAGUGUUCUUGGAGGUCUUUUCCAACCACAGUGAUUCUGUGGUUCUAUGAUUCUAACACAGAGCAGAUUUAAUGCUAGCAAUAAACAAGGAUUUGCAGACCCAACAGAAGAAUCUAUGUAGGAUGUUCCAAAAGUAAUGCUUUCUAUUUAUUUCCAUGGAAACUAUACACAACAAAGAGCACAAUAACAGUAUUUGAUAGAGCAGGCUUUCAGCUGCCAUCCAUGUCACGACAAUAAAAUUUAAUGGAACAUUUGAGGGAAGGUUCAACCCUUAUUGCCAUACCACCAACACCCAUAUCUGAUGGCACGAGACAGCAUAACAAAAAUGGGAGGCAUUACUUUUGGAGCUCCACAUAUUUACCUAUAACAUAGAGAAAAAAAUCUUAUAAUCUUCCAGUGAAUGAAACUGUCCCUUUUUUAGUCACAUCAACAGAAACUUGACCCUUGAAAGUAUAGUACUUAUUUUGUUUUCCCCCUCUGUCACUGUAACCACAAGUCUCAGCUGAGUAUCCAGGAUGAGGAGGUGGAGAAAAUUGCUGUCUUACUUUUCCCUAGGAUAAAUUAUUCGAUUGACUGCCCUGGAAUUACAUCAAUACAAACAACAGUACAUACUGCUUAAAAGUACUUGCAUCACCCAACUGUUCUGUAAGACUUAGGGUAAUUUCAGGAUGUCUACCUCCUUUACUAGUCCAUAAAAACCACCUCCUCAAGACAUUCAGCUAGAUCUCAGAGUACAACACUGCUGCAUUUGUUUCUCCAGGUCUCUAAAGCAUGAGUCGUUUGAAAUGUUACUUAGUACGCUCAAAUAUUCAAGUUUUUACUAAUUAAAAAAAUACAUAUAUAAUUUUAAUACCACUUAAAUGCUAUUAAAAUUAUCACAUACUAUUUCAUACUUACAGAAUAUGUUGAAAAGGAGUGUGUAUUUUAGAACACCUUUAAAAAGUCUGCUAUUCUUUUCUAUUCUUAUAAAUUUUGCCAUGAUGUUUAUAUAAAGAAAUUUAAUUGAAAUAGAUUUUCAUAAUUGAAUACUUCUGAAGACAUGUUGCAGAUCUGUAAAAGUCACUAACACAAUUUUUGAUCUUCCCCUAUUUCCCCUGUUUCUGUGAUCUAUAAGAAACAUCAUUGUCUCUGCCUGUACAUUAACAUUUUUAGAUUUCUUUACAACAAUACAGUACAUCCCGUAACCGUAAUUUUCCCUAGAGCUGAAAGCUGUUUCAAAUGAACAUGAGUCAGUCAGAACUUUUGAGAGCAAUGUUGCAAAGCUGUAAGUGUUGCUUACUAUUCCCAUGAAUACUGCCUUUUGGAGGCAGUACGUCAAGUGUCAGAAGUGAUAUGAAAUCUACUUUAUCAGAGUAUCUGAAGGCAAAGUGAUAUUUUCAAAGACAUUGCUAUAUUUAUUCUUGCUAACUUAGAAAAGAAAUAGAAUUAGGCUGACAAAUGAAACACAUGAAGUUAAUGACGUCUUCCAGAAUGAUUUAACUAUGGGCCCAGACAAAACUUAGGGGAACUUUUAAUGCUGAAAAAAUUCAUAUUAAUUAUUAGCUAUUUAAAUUCAGUCACAAGCCUGUUUACUGGAAUGAUGCUAACACGAAAUGGUUUGAUUUUGAGCACUCUGAUAACAGCUUAGACAUCAUCUCAGUUCUAAAAUGGUGGCUCAGCUCCUAAUCUGAUCUUAUCCUAGAAGUCCAUACCACUAUAAUUGUGCCAAUUUACAAAAACAGCAAAACAUUCACUUUUGUUUCCUUAAAGGUUUUGUUCGUUUGUUUGUUUUUAGUGUUAGAUUACUGGAUUGUUUUAUGGAGAAAAAAAAUCUUUGACGAAAACUUCAUCAAAUACACAACUCAGCUCUUCUAGAGCUGGUAUUAACGAAGCUCAAACAUUAGUAGCUUGGGAUAUUUCCUAAUUAUUCUUCCUCUUAAGGUAUUACAUAUUUGAAACUGGCAAUGAUCAUAAAUAAAAAGGAAUACAUCUGAAAAAAAAGAUUAUUUCAAAGUAUUCUGGAAUUAGGACUGGGAAUUUUUGAAGCACUAGGAAUUGGAAAGCUAUUCUAUUUCACUCACUUAUAAUACCUCAUGUUAACUUCUUUGCUAUUCAGAGCAUGGUAUAAUUCAUUAGUUACUAAUUAAUUGAACUCAACCUUUCUUUUCUGAGCACCAUGCUUGAGUGCCACUUUCAAAGGAAAGGUUGUACCUUUCACUUGGAAUAACUACCUUUCAAAUGUUGUUCUCCAAGGAGUAGAAAGCCCUCUUUGUAAAACUAUCCUUCUAGGAGUCAAUAUGAUUAUGUUAGCAAUUAAACUCCUAUCAGAAGCAGGAGAGAACUGAUGAUGGCACAAAAAGAAUUAAAUAAAUUGGAAUGCAACACAAACAAUUUACUUCUUUCUGGAAAUAUUGUUACCCUUCCUGGAGAAGUGCAAUUCCUAUUGAUGACAUCACUGUUAAUAUUUAUUUCAAUUCCAGUUUCAUUCAUGUGGACUGUCUUGGGGUAGAUGCUGUCUCUGAUUUCUGAUGGCUUUGCUCAUUUCUGUCAACAUUAAAUGGAGAGGAGAGAAAAGUCAUACAUUAAUCUUUCCAAACUUGUCAUGUUUAAAAAGAGCGUGAUCUUGACAAGAUUACUGUUUCACAGAAAUCCCUCUAAAAUUCUUGAUAUUGACAACUUUCAUAAAAUGAGUAAAUAUACAGAACUGAUUUAUUGUUGUUUUUUAGAAGACCUGGAUAUAAAAGAUUGGGAUUUCCACAGUUGUCUACAGUCAGAGUCUCUAAAAUCAUUUGUCCUGUACGUCCUUAUGCUGUACAUAAAAUUGCAAGUCUGUGUUUAAUGAAUGAUGCAUGAAGAGUUGUUAGGAAUUUGUGCCGUAGGGGAAGACUAUUCUGAGUCAUGAAUAGUGCUGAACUGUAGACUCAUUAAUCUGAUUAAAAGCAUGGCUCAUUACAAUCUAGCUGGUUAUGCAAGUUUUAAAUAACACAGUUUGCCUGAGAUCUCAUUCAUUGAAGUAAUUAUGCAUUUGUUUUUAUGGUAUUUUUCAUCAACCUGCAGUAUUUUUAUAUGAUUUCCAUCAUGACAUUUCAAUUGGAUGUACAAGUGCUACACCUCCAUGUUGACAAAAUAACCUAAUUUGCAGUAUCUUACUUAGGUUUUAACUUUUGGGUAUCAGUUGGAAUAAGUCA
This is a non-coding RNA of Coturnix japonica (Japanese quail), 11324 nucleotides long. Lineage: Eukaryota; Metazoa; Chordata; Aves; Galliformes; Phasianidae. The record is from RefSeq and is a predicted model, not a curated record.